GUUGUCAUUUGUUUAUGUGUUACAUAUUUGUUUUUCGUUCAUUUUUUGUGCAUACACUAGGCCGUUAGUUUUCUCGUUUAAAUUGUUUUACAUUGUCAUGUCGGGGUUUAUUAUAGCUGAUUAUGCGGUAUGGGCUUUGCGCAUUGUUGAAAGCUGUACAAUGACCUUUAGUUGUUAACUUAUGUGUCACGUUGGUCUCUGGUGCAUAGUUGUCUCAUUGGCAAUCAUAUCACAUCUUUUUUUUUAUAUAUAUACAUAUAGCUUG
Molecule: long non-coding RNA, 265 nt
Filed under: Mytilus galloprovincialis (Mediterranean mussel)
Lineage: Eukaryota; Metazoa; Mollusca; Bivalvia; Mytilida; Mytilidae
Source: RNAcentral